Molecule: long non-coding RNA, 1133 nt
Organism: Daphnia magna
Lineage: Eukaryota; Metazoa; Arthropoda; Branchiopoda; Diplostraca; Daphniidae
Exons: 2
Source: RefSeq, a predicted model, not a curated record
AACAGAGCUCGGCGUAAGUCGCCCCUCCAAAAGGUAGAGCUUCAAACGAAAUCACGAUUUUAACGUGGGCUCUUAUGGAAGAACCCGAGUUUUAAGUGUUUUUUGCAAAAUUUGGUUAACUUCACAGUCUGGGGGGGGGGGAGGAUAAUGUUACAGUUCAGAAAACGGUGCAUUUUUUGGUAUCUUUUGCGGCUUUCUCCUGCAUUUCGAACUAUUUUUAAAUAAUAAAUGAAAUAUAACUACAAGGCGCACUUUUAUUUUUUUUAUUAGUGCAGCCCCCGCAAAGUACUUUUUCGUUUGUGUUUGUUUUUUCACACUACUCCGUGGGAAGUUCCUUUUCUGUAUUCAAUACGAACUAGGAGAUAAAUUAAAUAUCACUUGACAUGCCUCAUUUUUAAGAGGAGUGUAAAAAAAUGGUGCACCGCUUCUGUCGUGGGUUCCCUCAUGUAACCAGUAAAUCCAAUCCAUAUAAACAAAAACAAUCAACCUUCCACAGUCCGCGGAGUAGUCUAGUUUGCAAAAACAAACAAACCCGAAAAAAAAAUUGCAGGGACUGCACUAAUAACCAAAAAAAAGAUGCGCCUUGUGGCUAAAUUUCAUUCAUUAUUUAAAAAUGGUUUGAAAUGCAGGACAGAGCCAAACAAGAUACCAAAAAAUGCGCCGCAUCCUGCACAUUAAUAUAUAUUUUUUCCAAACUGUGAACUUAACAAGUUCUUGCUAAAAAAGCUGAAAAUUUGGGUUCUUCCAUAAGAGCCCACGUUAAAAUCGUGAUUUCGUUUGAAAUUCCACCUUUGGGAGGGGUGACGUACGUCGAGCUCUGUUUCAGGGGUCCCAUGGCACGAUAUAGGAAGUCAUUCCUCCUUCCAUAGAGCUGCGACGAGCAGCUGUUCAUACUUUGUGGCAAUGAUAUCGGUCUUUACUUCGUAGUCUGUGGGUUACACAUUCAAUGGCUUAUACCAAGCCUCCAUUAAAUUGUUGGGUCGCAUUGCAGCACCAAGGAAACAUUCAUUCUGGACAUUGUGAUAAAGAAAGGUAAAGUUCAUCUUGUCGACAAAGUAUGUUUACUGAAUCUGGUGUAAUAUACCAUCAAAUCGUAAUCUUCCAUGCAAUGGGAAUAAAGAUCCUUAGACUUU